GCGGCUCUCAACUGGGGGCCACAGAAUGUAUCCCAGUUGGUGGGAUCCCGAGGCGCCAGGGGAUCCGGUGCUGUCUCCAAGGCCACCUCCGGAGCCAGGAUAUCUACGUUGGAAUACAUGGGACAUCAAGCAGUAUACAGGCACUACCCAACCCACCCUGACCCUUUCCUGGGGCAGUUUGACCUGCAGAAGUCCAGUUUGGGCCAACUCCUUUGGAAUUGGAAGAAUGAAGGUAUCCAGAAUGGACACUAGAAAAUGAUCCAUUAUCUGCUGUCUGGCGUGGAUGUCCUGGAGAAGGUGGCCAGCUGCCAGCCAGACUGUGACUGUCGAUUAGACGUACAACAUUGUGAGGGUCAUCAACGUCACGGGUCCAUACCAGAACGGCUGGCAGUCGGAGAUGACGGCACUGCGUCUCCAAGGCCAUCUAGUAGAUCCGGGAUGUCUAUGUCGGAAUACAUAGGCAUCAGGCAGUACACAGGAUGUGGACAAUGGAGAUAAAUUGACACCAGAUGAAGGAGUGGCUAAACAAGAGAAUGAGAGGAUACUGUUCCAUGAUCUGCUGUCUGGCGUGGAUGUCCCGAAGGAAGUGGCGACCCGGCGACUGUACUUUGUGACCAGACCAACAACAUUGUGAGUGUCGACGUCACGGGUCCAUGCGAGUUGGUGACAGGGGCCAGAGAAUUUUUUUAAUUUUGUGCAGGCAUGUUACCCAAGCCACCCUGACACUCCUGGGGCAAUUUGACUAGGGCCAACUCCUGCGGAAUCAGAAGUACAAAACAAGCUGCGCAAUCGUUAAGGUCAGCCGGCCACAGACGCGCCGCCGCUCAGUACGAUGUUGACUGUGGAACAAAAAGCACAGUGCGUGAUUUGGUCCAGCCAAGAUGUCCAGAAUGGCGUUGGAGAUCAAUAGACAACACCCGCAGGAGGUGGCCAGCUGCUGCUCGGACUCUGUGACUGUCGACCGGACCAACAAGCACCAAACCCUUCCCUCAAGGAAUAUGCGCAUUUACGGAGUAUGCAAAAUCUCAACAAAUUACGAGGGAAACAUGAAAAUAUUUUGAAUAAAUUAAGUAAAUUUAAAUAUAUUUCUAGUUUUUCAUUCAGUUUUAAGGUAAUGUUAAUAUAUUUAUAAUUAGUUGAGUUAAUUUACAUGUAUUUAUAGUUAGUUAAGUUAAUUUAAAUAUAUUUUUAGUUAACUUAAUUUAAAUAUAUUUAUACUAGUUGUUAAGAAAAUUUUGAUUGAUAGAACUAGUAAAAGUACACAUAUUUUACACAUAAUUAGAACUGAGCAAGGGCGCACCAACGAGGGGAAGGGGAAGAAAUGGUCCGGUCUCGCAGCAACUACAAACGGUUAGUUAUUACUAUUUCUUGUGGCUUCUACCUGUACCUGGUAUAGAUAGCCGCUUGGUGAAUGGCGUGCGGCUGACGCAUGCGCAGAGAAGCCUAUCCCCCUCUUUGCCCGGCCACGUGGUGCAGUACAUUCACAGGUCGCAUUUGUUUCGUUCAGUCUGUCUUCUGCUGCUCGUUCUGUUUAGUAGUGUCUGACAAUUGUGAUUGUUUUGUUUAUGUGCGACAGUACGUUACUGUAGUUGAGUUAAUUUUGAUAAAUAAAAAUUGUUGUAACUAC
This 1627-nucleotide unclassified non-coding RNA is filed under the name Homalodisca vitripennis (glassy-winged sharpshooter). RNAcentral describes it as "uncharacterized LOC124370030, transcript variant X3". The record is from RNAcentral. Lineage: Eukaryota; Metazoa; Arthropoda; Insecta; Hemiptera; Cicadellidae.